Molecule: long non-coding RNA, 436 nt
Filed under: Ananas comosus (pineapple)
Lineage: Eukaryota; Viridiplantae; Streptophyta; Magnoliopsida; Poales; Bromeliaceae
Description: long non-coding RNA (ACOM_LNC039904)
Source: RNAcentral
AGAGUAAUUGCUGCUAAGUGCUGCUGCUACUGUUGAGUGCUGCUGCCGCUGUUGCUAUUGCUGCCGCUGCCGAGAGCUGCUGCUGCUACUGCUGCUGGUGUCAAGUGCAGAAGAGAAACUGCAGGGACUGUUUUGUAACAACUGCAGGGACUUUUGUAAAAAUAGCAAAUUCUGCUUUGUGGGGAGAUUUAGUUGCAAUUGGCUGAUCUUAUCUAAACUCCAGCACACCCCCAGCUGCAUACGUAUGCAGGGCAACCUCCUCUCCGUCUCUUUUCAUUUUCUUUCUUAUUCUCUCUCUCUCUCUAAACCAUAUGUGGUAGAAUUUUAGGGAGAGUGGUGGAGUCGAUGUUAGAGCUGUGAGAAGGUUUUGGAGCUUGUUUAUUAUGGUGGAGAGGGAACCCGAGGUGAGUUGGUGAUAUCUCUUUGAUAAGGUUUG